RNAcentral lists this transfer RNA (73 nucleotides) under Paralemanea sp. RNAcentral's name for it is "tRNA-Trp". It matches the Rfam family "tRNA". Rfam says of the family: Transfer RNA (tRNA) molecules are approximately 80 nucleotides in length. Their secondary structure includes four short double-helical elements and three loops (D, anti-codon, and T loops). Further hydrogen bonds mediate the characteristic L-shaped molecular structure. tRNAs have two regions of fundamental functional importance: the anti-codon, which is responsible for specific mRNA codon recognition, and the 3' end, to which the tRNAs corresponding amino acid is attached (by aminoacyl-tRNA synthetases). tRNAs cope with the degeneracy of the genetic code in two manners: having more than one tRNA (with a specific anti-codon) for a particular amino acid; and 'wobble' base-pairing, i.e. permitting non-standard base-pairing at the 3rd anti-codon position. The record is from RNAcentral. Lineage: Eukaryota; Rhodophyta; Florideophyceae; Batrachospermales; Lemaneaceae.
AGAAGAAUAGCUCAAUUGGUAGAGCUGUGGUUUUCAAAACCAAAGGUUGAGGGUUCGACUCCUUCUUCUUCUG